Molecule: ribosomal RNA, 478 nt
Filed under: uncultured bacterium
Lineage: Bacteria
Description: partial 16S ribosomal RNA
Rfam family: Bacterial small subunit ribosomal RNA
Source: RNAcentral
ACGAACGCUGGCGGCGUGCUUAACCCAUGCAAGUCGAACGAAGCUUGAUUACGGAUUCUUCGGAUGAAGUAUGAUAUGACUGAGUGGCGGACGGGUGAGUAACGCGUGAGUAACCUGCCCUUCAGAGGGGGAUAGCGUUUGGAAACGAACGGUAAUACCGCAUAAUGUAUUUUGACCGCAUGAUCGAAAUACCAAAGAUUUAUCGCUGAAGGAUGGACUCGCGUCUGAUUAGGUAGUUGGUGGGGUAACGGCCUACCAAGCCGACGAUCAGUAGCCGGACUGAGAGGUUGAUCGGCCACAUUGGGACUGAGACACGGCCCAGACUCCUACGGGAGGCAGCAGUGGGGAAUAUUGCACAAUGGGCGCAAGCCUGAUGCAGCAACGCCGCGUGAAGGAAGACGGUUUUCGGAUUGUAAACUUCUGUUCUUAGUGAAGAAUAAUGACGGUAGCUAAGGAGCAAGCCACGGCUAACUACGUG